UUUCCUUUUCUGAUCCCUUUAAUGGUUUUUAUGUUGUAACAGUUGACCAACUCAUGAAAGAGUAUGUAGAUCUCUUUGAAUUUAACCUAUCAUCUGGAGCCAAGAUUAUAACACAUCAUUUUAUUCCAACUAGGGAUGCUUGUCUAAUCAAGGUUUUUAUUCAUCUUCAUUUAUCCAAAGAGAUCAAGAUUUUAUAUACAAACAUCAAAGAGAUGUUGAAAAAUGGAGUUAUUCAAAAGUCACGCAAUCCUUAGGCAUAUAAACCUCACGUGACAAAGUCUAAUGGGAGUAUUGAUUUUUACAUUGAUUAUUGUCCAUUAAACAAAAUGUGUACCCUUUUCCUCACACUAUUGAUCUCUUGGAUCAUCUAAGGCACAAUUUAAUCUAUGCAGCAAAAGGGGCUCAUAUUUAUAAUUCAAGGUAACUAUAGAGUUGUGUUAGGACUUUAUAGUCAAGUUUCGUGUUUGGGAAUUUCUUCUUUUUUCCAGCAUUAUAGAAAAAAUAAAUAAAUUCCCAAACACGGAACUCAAAGAGAUAAAGACUAACUGAUGCCAUCCCUAUAAGCCCCUCCUACCUCAGUAUAUAACAAGCUUACUAGCAGCAAAAAGGUUGUUGUUUUAGAUGCUCAUCAUGUUUGUAAUGCUUGCCAUAGGCAUGGACGUAGGAGGAAUCUCACCUAGAGGAUGGCGCUGGUAUGGAUCGUAAGUUUCCUCUUGGGGAUUAUCUAGCAAUUUUGAAUGUAUAAAUAUGAAGAACAAGUUGAGGGAACACACUCACCAUUUCCUUUUUACAGCAAAAAUCCAAUAUGAAAUGCCACCUUUGGAAACACUUAUUCGCCAUUGAUAAAUCAAAGCUCUAUUUUGUCAGUAGAAAGAGUUUACUGUAUCCUAGGAAAAUGCUGGUAAAAGCAAACGAAACGAUCGAUGAGAGGAAUCACUACCACGCAGAUAUACCAAUUGAUGUUAAUUAUGCCCACGUGGCAGUACUUUCCAUACAUGUACCAUUCUUAAUGGGUUGUGGCUCACCCAUUAACUUGAUCCAACCGUUGGCAGCUGUCGGAUCGAGUCAGGUUCUCUACGAGAACGUGGCUGACAAUUGCCAAGUUCUCCAAAACCUAGCUGUCAGCUGUCAGAUUCUGGAGAACCAGGCUACCAGCUGCCAAUUCUGGAGAACCCUCUCAUCCUUGAAUAACAUUCUUUCACAUGUUCGUUAACGGUCUCGCCACAGCCCGUUAAGGCCGUUCCCGGGCACGGCCUUGCUCGUUCCCUCCAGAACGCACUUGCUGGGCUAACACCCAGCUUGCCCGUUCUGGGCAGGAACGUGCUCGCCCUACCCAGGAACUGCCUCAUAUAUAGUUGAAAUACAUAGAAAGUUCUUCCGUGUCUCUUCACAGGCUGUGGCUCACCCGUUAACUUGAUCUAGCCGUUGGCAGCCGUCGGAUCGAGUCAAGUUCUCUACGAGAAUUUUACUGUUGUCAGCCACAUUCUGGAGAACGUGGCUGACAGCUACCAGGUUCUGGAGAACGUGGCUGAUAGCUACCAAGUUCUAGAGAAUGUGGCUGACAGCUACCAUGUUCUGGAGAACCCAACUGCCAGCCGCCAGGUUCUAGAGAACCCUCUCCUCCUCCAAUAACGUUAUUCCAUGUGUCCAUUAACAGUCUUGCCACAGCCCAUUAAGGCCGUUCCCGGGCAUAGCCUCGCUCGUUCCCUCCAGAACGCGCUCGCCGGGCUAACGCCCGGCUCGCCCGUUCUGGGCGGGAACAUGCUCACCCUACCCGGGAACUGCCUCUUCGCUGCUAACAAUUGAAGCCUCUAGAACAGGCCGUGGACGAUCUAGAGCAGCGUGCAUUGUCUCUCAACGACGACUACGUGCAACUCCUUGCAUAGAAAAGAGAUUUGCGUCAUGGCGCCAGGCUCCACACGCUCAUCCUUCACCACCAAUCCAACAGGUACCUCGCAAAUCUUCUCAUCCAGCUCUAAGGAAGGUGCGAGCGCGGGGAUCGAGCAAGGCAGGUGUUUAUCAGCCAUCCAUGAGCCUAACAGAUUCUCCUGGAACUUGAUGCUUGGCGCUUAUGCCCAAAAUGCGGAUCUUGAGGAAGCAAAAGAGCUGUUUGCCACAAAGAGAUAUUGUUGCAUGGGUCUCUAUUCUCACAGCUCAUGAAAACCGUGGAAACUUGGAGGAGUGCCAAACAUUGUUUGAUCAGGUUCUAGAAUGGGAUGUAGUUUGCUGGAACUCGCUACUUCCAGCAUAUGCCCAUAACGGGCAUAUGGAUCAAGCAAGCCAGAUCUUUGAUGGAAUGCUUAGUUUCUUGGACUGUUAUGUAUAAUGGGUAUUCCAGAAAAGGUUUGUUAACGACGCGCUAAAUUUGUUCAUGAGAAUCCCCGAAACCAACGAGCUCGGAUGAACUGUUCUUGUCACCGCAUAUGCCCAGAUUGGGCAUAUUGAAAAAGCCAAGGAGGUUUUCAGUAAAAUGCACACCGCGACUUAAGCUCGUGGAACGCAAUGCUAGCAGCAACGUCCAGUUUGAAAGAAGCAAGGUCUCUGUUUGAUGGCAUGCCACAGAGGAACGUUGCAUCGUGGUCGACAAUGAUCACCGCACUGGCCGAGAGAAACCAGCUCCAAGAAGCUCGCAUUCUCUCCAUCGAGCUCCUUAUCACGAUGACGUGGUGUGGACUGCCAUGAUCUUGGCCUACUCCAACCACGGCCACCUCGAAGAAGCCAGGAAGAUGUUUGCACGGAUGCCACAACACGUGAUGUUUUCUGGCAGCAUGGCAAUGGAGGGCGAGGCGAGAAACGAGAUAAGUUUCCAGGGGAUUUUCCUGACUUGCAAUCACGGUGGGAAGCUCCGUGUGGCACUCGACUACUUUCGAUCUAUGGUGGCGGAGUACAGUAUUUCUCCAAAUGUGAUUCACUUCCAGGCGAUGGCAGAUGUGCUGGGACGAGCCGGGCUGGUUGCCAAGGCCGAAGGUCUGCUGCUGGUGAUGCCCUUCCAGCCGCAUUUCCUCGCGUGGAAGAGCUUGAUCAGCGCUUGCAAAGUUCAUGGUAACGGCAAGAACAUCAAUGUUGCAGCUCGUGCCGCAGAGAAACUCUUGGAGAUGAAACCAGGGGACUCUGGCGCUUUACGUGCUCAUGUCAGCUGCGUCACAUGAGUCAACAAGUACAACAUUUAAUUAAUAGAAUAACAGAAAAUAAUUAUAAGUAAAUUAAAUAAGAAAAACAAAUCUAAUGAAUAAAAUCUUGAUAAUUAUUGAUAUCACUUCCAUUAAUUGGUGCAGAUUGCUCUAGAAUGCCCAAGAGAUUGUCAAGAGCCUGCCAGUGAGAAAAGACAAACCACUUUGAUUAAUGUUGCGGGUGACUGGAAGCGGCCGUACUGAGUCUGUGGUCGAAACGGAAGCCAAGGUAUUACGUUCAUGUUUAUAUUAGCAUGGAAGUUCUAUGGAACUUUGAAUCAAACUCUUGUAAAGUUUUGGCAAAGCUAGAAGAGGAAUGCUAGAGUGACUUUGAAGAUAAGGAUUUGAAGGAUUGGAGAAGCAUUAUAGGAAAAAGAAGAAUUGGCAAACACGGAACCACUUUUACUGGACUAACUUUCAAAUAUUCUUCCAGAGAUAAGAAAUAAGCGAAGCCAUCCCAAGACAACUCCCCAGCCACCAUCUAAAUUAUGCUGCCUCGAGCUAUAAAUACGAGCCCCUCCUGCCUCACAGAUCAAACCAUUUCUCUCUAAUAUACAAUCCUACUUAGUCUGAGCAGCAAAUCAUGGAGAACAAGGCUUUCUUGGUGAUAUUUUUGGCGCUUGCCAUGUUUGUGAUGGUGCUGGCCAUGGGCGUGGACGUGGGAGGAAUCGCAAAGGCUGCUGCCCAGCGCUGCCAGUCGGGGUGGUAUUGGUAUGACAACAGUUGCCACCGUUGCCAGAGGGGUUGGGUCUGGUGCAACAAUCGCUGCUGGCACAACUGAAACCUCCCGUUUCAAGGGGUAAACCCCAGCAUCGUUCCUCUGAAUUCAUCAUUCUGCAGUGCCAGGGUCUGGAAAGAAGAAUAGUUUUCUGUAUGGCAUUGCAUGGGAUCCAACAAUAAUAUAUAAACUGUCCAGGCCUUGAUAAAAAAUGUCUGUUCUCUCUAUUUCUCAUCUGGAUUCACAGUUUCAUUUCAAGAGUUUACUUCAUUUUGACUCCAGGCCUGCCGACUGAGUUUUUCUUGCGUGGCAGUUUUACUUCCUUCUUCGUGUUGCAAACUUCGUCUAUGCCCCACCCAGCAUUAUAGAAAAGAGAAGGAAUUGACAAACACGGAACAACUAACUUUUAAAUAUUCUAGAUGCCUUCCCAAGAGCAUUCUAGCGUCUUGAGCUAUAAAUAUGAUGGGCAUCACCACCUCUCUCCAGUAUACUAGAGAUUGUUUCUCUUAGUUUUUGCAGCAAGUCAUGAAGGACAUGGGGCCAUGGUUUGUUGUGAUGAUGCUGGCCAUGGGAGUGGAUGUGGGGAGAAAUCGCAACGGUAUGGCUGAUGCCCUCGAUAAUGGCGCUGAUAUGUCAUAACCAGAGAGCUAUAAGCUCCUCUGUGUGGUGGUUUCGGAGAUCUUUUGCAAAUUUUUGGCUAUAACUCACAGUGUGGUCUCGAGUUGCAUGACCGAAAUGAAAGAUAAUGAAUAAGAACGAUUCAGGGAUUGCUAGUGUAUUCUAAAUAUGAAGAAGGGUUUAGAAAAACAUAGUGUGGAUAAGUACUAACCCAAACAAUUCCAUUCAAAUUGGUGAAAUGACCACCUUUUUACAGAGGCAAAUGCAGACUCAAGACAUAUAGAUGAUGCAAGAAGGAUUUUAGAGGAGAUCAACUUCAACGAUCUGGUGUCAUGAGUGAAUGAUUGUGGGCAUUGCCAAGUCUCUCAUAUAAUUCCCCUCAAUGGAAAGAAGAUAUUGUCAAAGAGCGAACUAAAUCCAAGGAACUCAAAGUGGCUUCAUAAGUUGUGGCGCUCAGCAUUUUCCUUAAGGCAUCGGCAUAAAUUGUCACAGAGGGUGGUGGGAUAUGCACAUGGUGAUGACUCUCCAAGAUGAGAGCUGAAAAAGACUGAUCAUCUCAUCUCCAGGGAAUAUCCCAAUAUAUCCUCACUUGGCACCUAUACACACUAGGGGAGCUCGUCCUCGAGCUCUGAAGGCAGUCUUGGGGUGUUUACAGCUCAAAUCAUCUCUAUCUGCAACAAUGUUGUGAAAGAAGGGCUUUGGUAGUGGCUCAAAGCUAGUUUCCUGGUCAUAAGGUAAUUUGGUUCGAGACACGAAGAAGCUGCUCCAGCUCACUCUUCUCCUUGGCUUUUUGUGGGAGCAGUAUGCUACUCCAUCUACUAAUAAGAAGAGGUACUUCAUUGCUGCAGAAUGUUGGAAAUGUUUUGAUGUGAAAAAACGCAUGGAUCCUUUUGUUGGCUGCUCAAGCUCUGUUUGAGACUUUCCAGGACAGGAGGCACACAUAUCCGCAUGGUGAAGAAAAAUUGAUGUCAAAACGUUUGAAGCUAGAAAGAAAAGGAAAAUGUAAGAACCGAAUGAUUAAAAAACCUCUAUAUGUAUGUUGCUGCUCUAGAUACUCCUUAAAUGUAGUUGUGUUGAAGAUGAACCUCGUUGAAGGAAAGGCAAGAUGUGGCCAUUGCUUGAACGUAAAAAGAAUUUGCGUUAGUGAUGCUUUUCACUUGAAUUGGUCUGCUCCAAGCUGGUGUUAGCUUUGGUUGGUGAGAGUUUCUGACAUCAUAAAGCCAGACAAGACCCUAGCUGAGCCAUGUGCCUUCCCAAGUGACGGCAAGUCUCCACAUCAGCAAACAAGCCGAGUCAUCCAUCCGCCAAGUUCACACCCAUACCAUUAUGUACAUAACUAUAGCAAAGCAAUGAAGUUGAGAGAGCACUCCAUAUACAAAAAUCCAGACAUAUGGUAUCAAGUUUGUUUUGAUCCUGAUGGUGAAACACUGGUAAACAUAGCAAUGCAAUGAGAAAGAACGUGCUAGGGCUCUUGCAAUCCUUGCUAGGGUGGAGCAGUAAAUCCAAGAAUGCAAGUGAGCACAAUGUGAACCCAAUCCUUGCCUUUGCCCUCAUUAUCACUCUGUGUGUAAGCAUCCCUUCUAGAGAUUCCCACCACCUCCUCUUCCUCACUUUCCUUAGCCGUUUUCUCUAGAAACUAAUGGCUUGGCUUCUAGUACUCCACUUUCUCAAACCACCCCAGCGGUCACUUUGGCUGGCAGCUUGGAUGCAGGAUGGGAGAAGCUGCUCUAGAAGUUCAGAAGUGAAAACUUCACAAUAUUGAAGACUCAAGUCUAGUUAAUUUUGAUGGCUAAAGAUUGCUGGGACUUGGUCGAGGGAAUUGAAGUGAGACCUCUUGACACUUGACCUUGACUUUAAGAACUUGAAAGCAAAUUUGUUCUCGCCCAAAAGUGUUUCUUUUUACACAUGCAACCUAAUGAGACAAUGGCAACAUACAUCAAGAAGCUCAAGGGCAUUAUGCAACAGUUCAAGCAAGUGGGUAAAGCAAUCUCAAAUGACUAUGCAAAAGCUUUCUUGCUUCACUUUGUCUCCCUAGAGUUGUAACAAUCAUCCUUCAUGCUCUCAUUUAUCUUAGCUCUACUCUAAUCUUCUAGAGGAAGAGCACAAGAUUGCUGAGUGUAAAGUUGGCAAUUUAGGAUUUCCUUAGAUUGUGCAUGAGUAAGCAUUAUUUCUUGCCAAGUAAUUGUCAAAUGGGGAGUCUGGGUGAUGUUAUAGAAGAGCUACGAGGCCCACAGAAAGUGCCUCAUUUCUUCUUGUUAGCAACUUUGGUUGCAAGAGAAUCCCAAUUUUCCUUGGUUAAUUUUUCCAGAUCAAAAAGAUGCUGAGAGUAUCCUAGGUUCAUUUGGCUUUUUUUGGCUGUUCUUUUUUGCUGGAUACGUUGAUUGUAUCUCCUUCUGCAUCUUGAGACUCUCUACAUACAUCCUCUUCCUACUAUUUUAUACACAUACCUUCAUUAUUUAAGAUCUUCUAGCUUCAGGGACAAAGUGAAUAUGAUAAACCUCCUUGAGAGGUCCAUUUGGAAGCUUGAUCACCACCAUGCCACAGCCUUCCACCUGCAGUGUUUAUUUGUUGUUGUGGAGCCUUAGGUGUGAAACACAAAUUUCAAGAGAGUCAUAUGAAAUUAAGCACCACUAUCCAACCAUAACACCUCUAGAGUAGGCACCAAUGACAAGUAUUAUCAACAACAAGUUGUUUUGAGUAAGUAUAUGCUGAGUGGCAGCCUUUUAUGCACGGCAUUCAUACUCCACAUGUCCCAUCGUUUAUAAUAAUUGCAAAGACCCUUUUUCUUCUUAGAGAAAUUAUUUUUAGAGGAAGUCAAUAAGUGAUGAGGAUUGAAGAAGAAUAAGUCCAAGGAGAAGUAGAAGUUGACACAAGGAGAAGUAAAAGUUGGCACAAGGGAAAAUUGGCUUUAUAUCUAUCAGUUGGAGUAGAAUCUAUGAGUUGAGUAACAUAUUAAUGUCUAGAAAAUGUUAAAAGUAAAUGCAAAGAGUAGAGAUUCAUUAGGAUAUUCCUUUGCAAUUUGGGCAUACAAGUCUUUAUUAUGGAGAUUUCAUUGGAAGCAUGGGACCUCACCUCUUUCUUAUAGUCAUUAAAAGUGUUCAAAAGUGUCCUUGGAGUGUUCCUUAAGAGAGAAAUGUGAUCUUGAGUGUUUGAGCAUAUGAGAGCUCAGAUUGUAAUGAGGAUUGGAGAGAUCUCAACAUGGUUGGCUGUGGAAACACAACAUACUUGUGCCACACGAUGCCUCACGGUCAUGUUCCUAGAUAGGAUUUCUAGUGGAAUUGGGAGAAGGCUGGCUGCAAGCCCAAUUUGUUCUUUCUGGCUUAAGAGUAGCACUUAGCUAUUACAGUUUAAGGUCAUGCACACUACAUGAUAGAUCUGGCACUAGUUUUGUGCUAGCUAAUGCAAGGGAGGGGGAUGACAAGGCACUGGCUAGGCAUCGUGGUAAUGGUAGCAGUGCACAGCUUGCAAAAGGGAUGCUGCUGUGAAAUCUUUUUGUGACUUGAAUUCUGAUAUUUCAGCCUAUAGAUCCAGGGCUUAUGGCAGUUUUCUUCUCCACUUGAGCUUUUCGCCAUUUCUUUUACUUUCCUGCAAUUUGUUGCAGUGAGUUUCAUACCUUCCUAUUAGACAACAAGUCUCAUACACAGUCACAAGAGAGCUUGACUGUUCUUUCUCUUUCUUGUUACUAUUCAGAAUUUGAGCUGUGACAAUUUUGUAAAAGUGUCCAUGCUUAUGCAUACAGAAAUCUAGCUCUCAUAUUUCAAAGAAUCAGCCUAGCUUUGCAAACCCCAAGUAGUGACAAUAGAGUUUACUAGACAAUAUAGAUCUGUUUAUAAAUUUUUGUGUACUCACAAGUGGAAUAAGUGGUACACAUUUGCAUGGAAGUAAUAUCCAAGAAAUAAACUUAGGAGAGAUGUUGAGCUUGUAAAGCUUGAGAAUCAUUGUCUCCUUAGCAGUAAUUUUUUUAUAAACACAAAAUUACUAAAUAAACAUUAAAAGUAUAUAGUUUAUUAUUAUCAGAAAUUAGACUUCAGUUUUGAGACUUUAGUUUGAGACGUAGUUAGGAUGCCCAGAGUCUCUGCAAUUUCCAGAAUAGUUGAGGGUAGCCUGGCACUUACAAAAUACAUGACUCCCACAUUUUUCACUAGGCUGAUUAUUAUAAACGUGUAGGAAUUGUUGCUUGAGAGUUACACCACUCACGGAAGGAUAGGCUCCACUACAAGUAAAGAUGGCACCAGAAACGAGAGAAGUAUAAAUAGUUCCAUCGGUGUAACUUGAUAUUGCAGUUCGGCAAUCAACACGAGAACCACAAUAAAAAGAGCCAUCACAAUUAUCACUAGCACAACUUGAGAAGCCAACGAAAACCACAAGAAGAAAUGCAACAAGUGAGAACAGCUUGACAGACUUUCUUAUAAAAAGAUUAGUGUGAUGAGAGAAUGGAAUUCAGAACACAUCAUCCUCGCGGACCGAGAACCUCUGCAGGUUCCAGUUGAAGUUGUAUGCUACCAAAUCCUCCAGGGUUAUCAACAUAUGGGAAGAGUGUGAUCCAACGGGUGAGAUUGGCCAUCAAACGUGGAAUCUUUCAGGCACCAAGCGUUUACUUGAGCAGCCGCAAAACAUCGCCAACCAAAUACAAAGAACCAGUGACCAAAACCUGAGAGAGAAACAACCGCUUACACCAUAAAGAGUUUUAACCAAGUACCUGGAGAUGAAGAUUUGGAUGGCGAGCGGAGCAAAAGCGCAGCCAAUCAAUGGCUGCUGGUAGCGAUGGCAUCACUGCACUGGAAACUCCAAAAUGGCAUGAGCUAUAGCCGUUUUCCAGGCCGGAAAGAAACUCUCGACGAUAGUCUCCGGCUUUCGAAUCUGCAAGAUAACUCGCAAGCACUUCCAGUUGGAAAACUAGCUCGAUAUUUUACCUUUCUCCUUGAAGGACUCCCAGUGCUGCUGUAACACCUUUUGCCACGAGAGAUCUGGAUCAACGGGAGAAUCGUGAGUGUUGUCAAUUGACGUGUAGCUCGAGUACGGGGGUACGAAUAUCGCCAGCUCGAGUGAAAUAUCUACAAACAAGAAACAUGAACUUUCAGCCAGAGAGCUUUGCUUCAUCAAGUCGAAAAACCUUGUUGUUUGCAGAUAUCUAGCAAGGGUGGGAAUAGAAGGUUGGGAUCGCGCUUGGGCAUGCAAUUGAAGAGUAAGAUCUACACAGACAAAUAACACUGAUAUCGUUAGCCAACUCAACAAAAUUCACCUGUCUAGAGUUCGAAGUUGGUGUGUUAAACUGCUUAAUAUCGAAUGCCGAUAUUUCUUCAUUCUCUUUGUGGAUGUUGUCGGCUCUAGCAGCGGAAGAAAACCACUUAGCACAGGCUUCCAUACUUUCUGGGCUAUGAGCCCCGUCCAGGUAGAAGCUUAGCUUCUUCUCACGGACAAUCUCUGCUCUUCCUGCCCACCGCACUUCAACGAGCCCCUUAAUGUAUGAAUCAGGUAAACGACCUUGCUCAAGAGCCUUCGCAACGAGAAAAGGAGGCUGGACUCUCAAGUAGAAGAGAACAAUUAAACGCUUACCUCGUUCAGGAUUGCUUUAUGCUCUUGGUGAUCGGUUCUCUCCGCCCAGCCUCUGCAAAGCGCCACGGCAAGUGCAGCGUUGGUCCGUUGAUGCUCUCCUUGCAGUCCAAGCUUUAAGUCUCCCAGAUUAUAAGUUUCCAGAGGAGCAGCAGUUUCUAAAGGUAUCUGCUCACAACGAAUGCGUCAGUUCGGCCUAGAUUUACACAAAAACAAUGCCUACAUUUAGCUCCAAAGCACGCUUCUUCAGAGCCUCCAAUGCUUCAGCUGGCUGUGGCACUGUAACAGCUGGUACGCCUGCCUUCAACCGGUGCCAAGACGUCAGAAGAAUAGAUAAAUCUAGAUACCAGUACCUUGAAAAUCCCAGCCUUCUCCGUUGCAAUUUCCGCGAGUGUGUUUCCUACAAACGAGCACGUCAGCAAGCGAACACGAUGAUUUUAAAAAAAGGAAACCAAGAAUCUCCAUAUGGUCGUAGCCGAGUGAUGCUACUCCACAGAUGGCUGGAUUUCGAACCUGAGAAACAAAAGGACAAGUCAACUUCAUCGGCAGCUUAGCUGCUUACCACAUUGGUUGCAUCACAGCGACCUCCUAAACCGACUUCCAAGAUAGCAACGUCAACCUGUUGGUCACGAGUUAAGCCGUAAAGCAAUAUUAAAAAACAUAGUCUAGUUUUCUCACAUCCUCCGACGUAAACAUCUUGAAUGCCAAAAUUGUGAGGAACCGAAAGAGACGUGGCAUAGGGAGCCCCUGCUCGGCCUCAUUUGCCUGCAUUUGCCUAUGAAUUACAAAGAAAAAAGAACAAACCAGGUUAACCCACCUGGAGAUGAUCCCAACACCACCAAAAAUACUGGUUAAAAGUCUCCUCGGAGACCUCCUCCCUGGUUUAAACGAGCACUGUAAACUUGAUAAUGCCACCACAACACUUACCCGUUCAAUCUAAAUCGUUCUCUAAUGUCUAGCAAAUGAGGCGAGGUGAAAAGAGCAGUCCGGAAACCAGAAGCUCGCAAAAUUCUCUCCACAAAUGCACAAGUAGAACCCUGUCACAGACUAAGGCUCGUCAAAAAAGAAAGAAACUGGUUUUAAGUACCUUUCCCUUGGUUCCAGCCACAUGAAUUACGCUUAAUUUCGAUACUGGCUCCUCCAACCCGAGCAGCUGAAGGAGGAAAAAAAAAAAAGCUCGAGAAGAAACCAAAAACCGAAGAAAAAAUGGUACCUUUAGAUGGUCAGCAACGAGCUGGAAAUGGUUCUCCCAUCGGCUGCUAUCGUGGGUGCUUGGCGAACGAUCCAAAUCCACCACUGCUCCCCCUCCUCCACGCUUCUUGGUGAUUAGACCAUUGAGAAUUUCGAUAGCGUCCCGGAAGCUACGACGAUGCGCCAUCGCCAAGGACUGCGCACAACCCUACAGCAGGAGAGCACGACGACAAGCGAGUACUUUGACGCGCCAGGCUAGAUAGCACUCGCUUUCACUCCACUCACCUGGGCGCCGGAUCUGCGAUCGUGUCCGCUCAUCGCCGGGAGGAUUCUCGAGUGGAAUGAUUGAGCGAAGCGCAUUUGAAAUCACCGCCCUCUCCUAGGGUUGCCGGCAGCAUUAGCCGAUCGAGCUCCCGGGACCUGCAUUCCACGGGAAUCAAUCGCUGGCGCUCGAUCCGGCGCAUCCAGCUCGCCGCGCCGCGCCGCGCGGAUUCCCAGUGGCGCUCCUCGACGAGCAUCAUCGAAAAACCCUGGAAAUAUUUACCAAGAUAUCGUCUACGUCUUUAGAGCGCGAAGGAUAAAACAAAGGUAAAUUUCUUAAAGAGCAAAUAGACAAAAGAUAUCAAACUCUGCCAAACAACCUUGGCAUUAUUUACUUCGACACACAGUAAAAAAACGAAAUCCAGUCACACAAACAAAGAACAAAGCACACACCAUAUAAUCUCUUUUUACCAUGUGGAGUAAUGGUAAAUUUCUUCCUCAGUUCUUGGAGCAGCCAGUACCAGUCCAGCUCCGCCCCAAUGGGCACCGGUUGCAACUGUUGUUGUACCAGUACCAACCGGACUGGCACUGGUUGCACUUGCCAUUGUACCAGUACCACCCGGACAGGCACUGGUUGCACUUGCCAUUGUACCAGUACCACCCGGACAGGCACUGGUUACACUUGCUAUUGUACCAGUACCACCCAGUCGGGCAUUGGAUGCACCUGCCACCGGACCAGUGCCAACCGGACCGACAGCUUUGUGCCUGGGCCUUUGCGAUGCCAUUGCCAAUGUCCACGCCGAUUAAGAGGAGCAUGACUACCACUCCAAUGAAGGCCACGCGAGAAGAGUAGCUCGCCACCAUUGCCAUUAGCGAAGAAUUCUUCUUGAUUGAGUUGAGUGAGAUGAGAAAGAUUUUGGAGAGAAGUUUGCUGUGAGAAGCUUUGAUUUCUGGGAUGGAUGAUGCCAAUGAAGGCCGAGGAGGCAUUUAUAGUGCCGAGAAGUAUGAAGAGAUUACAUGUAGAGUCAAUUAUAAUAGACUUGUGGCCAUGGUGUAUACAUGGUAUAUACAGGGGGUUUUUUGUACAGACUCUUGUUACUGUUUGAGCGGCUCUUGACUUGGACCAAUGGAAAGAAGAAAUAUUGAUAAGAAUAUGGCUAGCCGUGUUCUUCUGUUCUCUCUGUGGAUGAAUCAUGUAAUUUUUAGUAAUUUUGUGUUUGUUCCAACACAACUUGGCCUGAUCUCUGGUACAACAUGCGUUCGUGUCCACUAUAGUAUACAUUACUUUUAGACUCUCUCGAAAUUAUUGCUUCUUCUUGGCUUGAUCGGGUUGGGUUUUGGAGCUUGCAGACCAGGCAAUUCCUAUCUUAUCCGAACACCAGCGCCGGCCAAACACCGCCAAAAAACUAAAAGACUGGUAUAGAUCUACGACAACAAUUGAUGCUGUAAAUUGAUUUUUGUGUUUACGGCAUCAGUUGUUCUUGCUGUUCCGUUUGCUACGUAACAACACCAACAUGAAAUAAGGAGCGAAAGAACUGCCAUCCAGGAAAAGCUCAGUGCCUGGAGACAAGAAUCUAAGUAAACUCUCGAGAUGAAUUAAAUAGUUUAAUAACAACAUUUUUACAUCGCAUCAAAUCUUUUUAUUCUUGGUGUGUUUGGGCUUAAAGACCUCAGUUUCUCCAGCAGCGGCCUUUGCGCCAGCUCCAGCCGCUCUGGCAUCGGUGGCAGCUUCCGCCAUACCAAUACCAGUUUUUCGGGCAGGGGUGACAACGAUUGUCAUACCAGUACCACCCUAUCGGACAGCGCUGCGCAGCAACCUUUGCGAUUCCUCCCAUGUCCACUCCCAUGGCCAGCAUUAUCACAAACAUGGAAACAAGCCCAAGGCAAACCAGCUGAGUCUUGCUCAUCGCCAUUGCUAUAUACUUUGACUGACGAAAAGAACAAGAAACCAAAUCAGAACUAUUAAAGAGCUUCUUCUGAUCUUUGAGCACUGAAUCAGGAUGAUGGCUAGGAGAGAGAUUGUGGAACCCUCUCUUGAGAGGGGUAUCUAUAUACUCGCCCUUGCAACGACCGAGCAAGUUUCUGCGUGCAUUGUUUGCGGAUAACUUUGUGUCCCAUCGGUUGACGCGCGCCGUUCGCUAGACUUGGUCUUGGGAAGGAUCAGAUUCGUUGACAAAUUGAUUUUCUAAGUACGUAGUACUCUCAAUAAUACGGAAAAAUAAACUUUUCGUCCUUCCACAACGACUUGACGAAGUCUGUCGUAGCAGUAAGCUCCAAAACGAGCGCUGUUGAUAUAAUGUUAGUCAAUUUGCUGCACCUUUUUGGUGCAACAACAAAUCAGGGUCUUGCUCAUCGCCCCUGCUGCUUCUGCUGCAAAGUACGAGUUAGAUCGGGAAAUGCUUGCUCGGUUGCGAGUAUAUAGACACCCUCUCAAGAGGUUCCUGAACUCUUAUUGUCGAUUUAUUAUGUGAUAUUAAUGGAAAUUUCAACUAAUAAUGUUGGAGUGUUUUCUACCAUGUGGUCGAUCAAUUUGCAGGAGCUGGGUCGCAGCAGAUAGAAAGCAUGCCUUCCACUUGGAUCAUGCAAAGUCUCUCGUGAUACCAGGCAUGAGUCAUCCUGCUACCUGUGUGAUUAUUUGUGGCACCCACUCGAAACGAAAGAGGUCCCCUGAUGUUGCUCGAUAAUGCGGUGGCCGGCUUCAUCAUGCAAGCUCUGCUCGGUAAAGCAAAUCAGGUGGGCUUUAUCUCAUGGUUCCAUUCCCAACACGAAGAUAUCCAAAAAGCUUAAUCUUUAUGUUUGUAAACCAAGAAAGUUUGCGGAGUAAUUCCACCCGAGCUCACAACUCUCGAGAUGAAGCAAAGUUUUAUAUGUAUAUUAUUAUUGCUGCACGAUACAAAGUGUCUUUUAUUCUUGUUUCCAGACCCUGACAGUAUGAAAUCAUAGAAAUUACGAGUUGAUUUGAGAAUUGCAGUUACCCCUUAAAACCUGAGGUUUCAGUUUCUCCAGCAGCGAUUGUUGGUCCAACCCUUUCGGCAGCGGUGGCAAUCAUUGUCAUACCAAUACCACCCUCUCGGGCAUCGCUGGGCAGCAGCGUUUGCGAUUCCUCCCAUGUCCACUCCCAUUACCAGGAGCAACACAAACAUAGCCCAAGGCAAGCCAGACGAAUCUUAAUGACCAAGAACAUCUUAACAUUGACGUACACUAAAAUAGAAAGAGCGCCAAAUAUUCUUCAGAAAUCUGGAAUCAAUCUAUGCAUGGAUGUAGAGCUUCCAGCUUUUGGUAACAUCAUAAAUGUAAACACAACUGAUCCAAAGCAAUAUAAAUAACUAAGUGUUUUUGUUUUGUCAAUGAAAAGCUGUUUAUUUUGUCCCGAGACUUUGCCAUCCUAGUCUCGACGUGGAACUUAAAAGAAGAUGCAAAAGCUCUGGCAUGUGACACGGUAGUCAGGAGGCAAAUUUGUCAACGAAUCUGAUCUCUUUUACAGACUAAGUCUAGCAGUUUUACCACAUACGGCAACACUUAUACACGCGGAAAUUUGCUCAGUCGUUGCAAGGAACGUAUAUAAAACGCCCCUCUCAAUCGAGACGAAAUCAUCACUUACACUUCUCUUCUCAGGAACAGGUUAAUUAUGUGCUUGCAACUCUUUAGGAUAUGAAUUUGAUUGUGUUUCUUGUUCUUUCCACUUUGCAGGUCUAUAGAAUGGCAGUUGGAAAGUUUGUUGGCUGAAUAUAUAUAUAUAUAUAUAUAUAUAUAUAUGUUAAAAAUCCAUGCAUUUUGCGAACGUUACACUGCGACAACCAUUUUCCAGAAAACACACCAUAUUUAUCAUUGAUAAUCUCAGAGCCUGAACAUCGGAAUAGAUUUCACACAAGAUUCUAUAGGACUCCAAAACAUUCCCGUUUCCAAGCCACAGUUUUAUUCUACGUAGUUCUUCACCCAUUCGACAUUCGCUCCCAUGGUUCCAGGCCCCAGAGAUCACUCACAAACUUUCAUUAAUUGACGCAGCGGCUGCCAUUCCAGCGCCACCCACGCUGGCAUCGAUGGCAGCUGUUGUCAUACCAGUACCAAUUGCAUUGCACGCAGCGAGAUCCAUUCCAGUACCAUCCCCUGCGGCAGCGCUGCGCCACCGCCUUGGUGAUCCCCCCGACCUCCACUCCCACCGCCAGGAGCAUCACAAACAUCACAACCAGGCCCAGGCACACCAAUCGAGUCUUGCUGCUUGCCAUAGCAAUCGGUCAAUCAAUCGAUCAAUCGAUUGGAAUUGGAGAAGAGAGAAGGAGCAAACCAAAGCGAAAGAACAAAGGAGCUCUAGAGAGUGUGUGGGGGAUUGUAAGAGAUGUGCUGUUUAUAUAGCGUCGAGAGUGUGUGGAUAGAUACAAAGACCGCGCAGUUCCAGGCCAAAGUCUUUCAUUACAAUUCGCGCCCACCAUUUGAAAAGACUCAAUUAAGGUUUGCAUUUGUUAAAAUCGGUCACCACUUGGCAUAAUCCGCAACGUUGAGUUUGGACGGUCAGGAUUGCAGAUCAUUUUCUCUGUUCUUUAGACGGGAAUGGGGUCUUCUCAAGUUCGGGGUCGCGGCAUUUGGAUUUCUAGGGCUCUUGCUGGGGAGUGAGGGAGCGGCGCGAUUCUCCCCUUACAUUUUAUGCGUGGAAGGAAUGUGGUGCUUGUCUCACUCUCAUAGGUAUUUCUCUCUUAGUUUUUGUUUCCUUCUUCUUAGACAACAAUGUAUUUGUUUGUAAGGGGUCCUUUGCUGCUCAUGGAGCUCGCUGUGCUUCUCAUAAACGCUAGCGCACGAAAGUCUUAAAUUACUUUGUUACUGCAGGUUUCCAGAGACCUCUUUCUCAAUGCAUUCGCACAGGCCUUGAAAAUUCUGGUGUCUAGUGCUGGAAUUUACGCUGUUACAGUCGGAAGCGACUGUGGAGCUGCGAGAGCUUGUCGAGAAGAACAAUGUUGCCACCAAUGUGUUUUUUUCUUUACAGACUUUUACACUGUUUGACUUGGACCAACGAAAUAUGACCAUUGGCUAGCUAUGUAAUUCUGUUCACUUUUUCGAUGAAUCAUAUAGUUUUUAGUAAUAUCUUUGUUCCAACUUGGCCUGAUCUCUCGUACAACAUGCGUUCGUGUCCACUAUUCUAGUACAUUCUUGUGGAUUUUAAAGGACAAAACCACAUACACCAGACUCUCUUGGCUUGAUCGGUUUUUGGAGCUUGCAGACCAGGCAAUUCUUAUCUUAUCCAAACACCAGAGCCGGCCAAAUACCACAAAAAACUUAAAGAUCAGUAACAUAAUUCUUGCUGUUUUGUUUGCUACAUAACAACCAAAGAACUGCCACGCAAGAAAAGCUCCAUGCUUGGAGACAAGAAUCUACUCCAGAUGAAAUUAAACAGAUCACAUUUAUCCUAAUUAGGAUUUAGGAGGAUCUUACAUCAUUCAAACAAAACCUUCCGAUUUAUGGUGUUGAUAGAUUUUUGGGCUUAUCCAUGACUCCGGAUAUCUAAGGUUUUCCAGCAGCGGCCAUUGCGCCAGCUCCAGCCGCUCUGGAAUACCAGCAUUUCGGGCAGCGAUGACAACCAUUGUAAUACCAGUACCACCCUCUCUGGCAGCGCUGGGCAGCUUUGCGAUUCCUCCCCCCGUCCACUCCCAUAUCAUCACAAACAUGGCAACAAGCCCAAGGCAAACCAGCUGAGUCUUGCUCAUCGCUGGACUGCUAUUGCGAGUGAAAAGAACAAGAAACCAAAUAAGCACUAUUAGAGAGCUUCAAAGAUCUUCUGAGCACUGAGUCUGUUAGAAGAGAAAUUGUGGAAAUCUCUCCUGAGAGGGGUAUCUAUAUACUCACCCUUGCGACGAAGAAAGUUUCCGCGUGCAUUGUUUGUGGAUAACUUUGUGGCUCAUCCGUUGGUCUUGGGAAGGAUCAGAUUUGUUGACAAUUUGGUUUUCUAAUACGCUUUUCGUCCUUCUAUAAUAUAAUGUUAAUUUCAUUAUUAAUGCUAUUUUAAUGUCAUAUCAUGCUAAACCACCAUUCACUGCUUCUGGUGCAAAGUACGAGCUAGAUUUAUCGGGCAAUAGUUGCUCGGUUGCGAGUAUAUAGACACCCUCAGCUCUUAUUGUCGAUUUAAUAUAUGAUAUUAAUGAAAAUUUGGCUGGAGUGUUUGGAAUCACUUCUACCACGUGGUCGAUCAAUUUGCAAUCAGCCAGUAGCAUCGAUUGUCUCACCUCGAGGCAUGAGUCGCGCCCCUGCCGGAAAAACAGAGAUCUCCGGGAUCAUGGAUAAGCACAAAAAUUUAUAACUCAAGAAUCAACACCAUAACUCGUAAGGUUUUUCAUGUUCACCAGGAUCUUCUGAAUAUCUAUGCUGUUUUAGAUCUUGUGUAUUAGAAUAAUAAAAAAAUUCAUCCGAUGUAAAAAUGUUGUUUGUGUGGUCAGGUCAUUCAGCUUUUCUUGGGUGACGGUUGCUUCUCUCCUUUUGUCAUGUUGGUGUUGUUAUGUAGCAAACUGAAUAGCAAGAAUAAUUGAUGCCGUAAACACAAAUACCAGUUUACGGCAUCAAUAUUUCUAGUAGAUCUAUACCAUUUUAUUGUUUGGCGGUUUUUGGCCGGCGCCUGAUCUGCAAGCUCCAAAACCCAACCCGAUCAAGCCAAGAAAAAGCAAUAAUUUCAAGAGUAUGUGGCUUUGUCCUAACUAAAUAAUGUACUAGAAGCUCAUAAUAUAGUGGAUACGAACGCAUGUUGUACCAGAGAGCAGGUCAAGUUGUGUUGGAACAAACAUAAAACUACUAAAAAUUAUAUGAUUCAUUGAAAGAGUGAACAGAAGAAUCAUAUUCUUAUCAAUAUUUCUUCUUUCCCUUGGUCCAAGUCAAGUAUUAUAGGUCAAGCCGCGGAGGUAAUGGAGAAGUUGGUUUGCCACGAGAGACUUUUAAUUCAAAGAGUGUUGGAAACACAAGGUAUGCUCUCGAUCUGCGUCCCAGUGAUCGAUUAGAUCCAAUCUUUUGUUAAAGUAAAUAUAAUAUACUACCAUAUUAUUAACAGACUUCGUCAAAUCGAGAAGGAUCGUCGUACUUAGGAAACCAAGUUGUCAACGAAUUUGAUCCUUCCCAAGACCAAGUCUCCAAGUAAAAUCGGCGCGUCAACCGCUGCCAAAAAACCACGAGGAAACUUGCUCGGUUGUUAUAGAGAGACUCCCUCUUCUAUCCAGAGGAUCCGCAGAGACUCCUUGUUCUUUUUACUUGCAGUAGCAGUGUGUUCAGAGGUAGGAUCUGGUCCAGCUACAAUUCGGACUUAUCUAAGUCUCGACGUGUACACAGUAGCACCCAGGAGGUAGUACCCAGGAGGCAGAUUUGAAUCUGAUCUCUUUUCCAGACUAAGUCUAGCUAACACGAUUGCUCGGUCGUUGCAGGGGGCGUAUAUAUAACGCGCCUCACUCUAUCAAGACGAAAUCACCACACUUACACUUCUCUUAUAAUCCACAGGUUUUACUCUUAGAGUGGCAGCAAUGGCGAUGGACAAAAUUCGUCUGGCUUGCCUUGGGCUUGUUGCCAUGUUUGUGUUGCUCGUGAUUAUGGGAGUGGACGUGGGAGGAAUCGCAAACGCUGCUGCCCAGCGCUGCAAGUCGGGGUGGUAUUGGUAUGACAAUGGUUGCCACCGUUGCCCGAGGGGGCGCAAAAAUCGCUGCUGAAGCCUCUGCUUUUAAGGGGUAAGCGCAAUUCUCAAUUCAACUCGUAAUCUCUAUGAGUGCAUUGCCAGGGUCUGGAAACAAGAAUAAAAAGACACCGGACUGGUAACAUGUUUGUGUGGAACAAAUAAAAUAUAUUUUUGUUUUUUUCUUUCUCUUUUUGUUUUUUUGUUUUUUCUUUUUUUGCUUCAUCUCGAGAGUUUUGAGCUCCCGUGGCAAUACUUCCUCAUCGUCUAGCAACCUUUCUUCUUGGUUUACAAACUAGAAAAUUAAGCUUUUUGGAUCAAUGGCUAUCUUCGUGUUGGGAAUGGAACCCAUGUUGUGAGACAACCACAUGAUUUGCAGGUGGAAGUAACUCGCAUGAUGAAGCCGGCUACGAACGCAUUAUCGAGCAACAUUAGGUUCGAGAUAGUCGGAGGACCUCUUUUGUUCCGUUUGGAUUCGGUGCCACAGAUAAUCACGCAAGUAGCAGGAUCUCUGGCAUCAGUGGCAACUUCCGCCAUACCAAUACCAGCUUUUCGGGCACCGGUAACAACCAUUGUCAUACCAGUACCACUGGCAGCGCUUGGCAGCAACCUUUGCGAUUCCUCGCAUGUCCAUUCCCAUGGCCACAAACAUGGCAAGGCGAACAAGGCAAACCAGGCAAACCAGUUGAGUCUUGCUUUGCUCUAUACUCGAAAAGAACAAGAAUCCAAGAUCUUCUGAAAGGAAACUUGUAUUGAUUUGAUUAUGGUUUUUUGUUCUUUUCUCUUGCAGAGUGGCAGCAAUGGCGAUGGACCAAUGGCUGCCACCGUUGCCAGACAAACUGGGAUUAGAAUAGUUUGAGCUGCGAAAUAUAUUUUCUCUAUUAAUCUCUAAAGAUUAAGCUUGGCUCACGAUCAAUAUAACACUACCAACAUUAUAAUAUAGACAUGUAUCCAGAGCUAGCUAACCAGUGUAGCUACGACAGACUUUGUCAAGUCGAUGUGGAAGGACAAAUAGCUUUACUUCCGUAUUAUCGAGAGUACUACGUACUUAGAAAACCAAAUUGCCAGCGGAUCUGAUCCUUCCAAGACCAAGUCUAGCAAACGGCAAAGUUAUCCGCGAACAAUGCUAGCAGAAACUUGUUAACAUAGAUUGGCUUUUUCACACCCCAAAAGCUCAUUAAAGGGCAGUAAUAUAGGUAUAAAUACACUUUUAAUUGUGGCUGACAACUUUCCAGAAAACAGACCAUAUUUAUCAUUGAUAGUCUCAGAGCAGAUUUCACACAAGAUUCUAUAGGACUCCAAAACAUUCUCGUUUCGAAGCCACAGUUUUAUUCUAUGUACUUCUUCACCCAUUCGACAUUCGCUGGCAGGCCCCAGAGAUCACUCACAAACUUUCAUUAAUUGACGCAACGGCUGCCAUUCCAGCGCCACCCACGCUGGCAUCGAUGGCAGCUGUUGUCAUACCAGUACCAAUUGCAUUGCACGCAGCGAGAUCCAUUCCAGUACCAUCCCCUGCGGCAGCGCUGCGCCACCGCCUUGGUGAUCCCCCCGACCUCCACUCCCACCGCCAGGAGCAUCACAAACAUCACAACCAGGCCCAGGCACACCAAUCGAGUCUUGCUGCUUGCCAUAGCAAUCGGUCAAUCGAUCGAUCGAUCGAUUGGAAUUGGAUAAGAAAGAAGGAGCAAACCAAAGCGAAAGAACAAAGGAGCUCUAGAGAGUGUGUGGGGGAUUGUAAGAGAUGUGCUGUUUAUAUAGCGUCGAGAGUGUGU
Molecule: long non-coding RNA, 20916 nt
Filed under: Selaginella moellendorffii
Lineage: Eukaryota; Viridiplantae; Streptophyta; Lycopodiopsida; Selaginellales; Selaginellaceae
Description: long non-coding RNA (SMOE_LNC001001)
Source: RNAcentral